UCUUGAUUGUGAACAUAAAUAAUUUUCUUUCUUAUCACUUAACUCAGACAGAAGAACAAGGAAAAUAUUAUUUUUUAUUAAUAAUAAAUAUGGGAGUUGCAAAUAAGAUGUCUGAUAAAAAUCCAGAAAUGAGAGCAAACGCAGCAAGAAUAUGUCGUGAUUAUUUGACAGGUGUUUGGAAACAAGUUAAUGCUGAAAAUAUUGUUGUUAAUCACAUAAGUGGUGGACUUAGUAACUGGAUUUAUGAUGUACAAUUACCAGAAGGAAUUGCACCAGUUCGUGGUGAACCACGUCAAGUAUUAUUACGUAUUUAUGGACAAACACAUGGUGAAAGAGCAGUUGAAGGUAUUAUAACUGAAUCAGUUAUAUUUGCAUUAUUGUCUGAACGACAACUUGGACCAAAACUUCAUGGUGUAUUUCCUGGUGGUAGAAUUGAAGAAUAUAUACCAGCACGUCCUUUAUUAACAAAAGAACUUGCUGAUCCUGAAUUGAGUGUAUUAACAGCUGAAAAAAUGGCAGCAAUACAUCAAAUGCAAGUGCCAAUAAGUAAAGAACCAACUUGGCUUUGGAAUACAAUGAUCAAAUGGCUUGAUACUGCUCAAGAUGUACUUAAAAAUAUUGAUGAUAUUGAUCAACGACUUGUAGAUAAUAUUAAAGCAAUUAAAUCAGUAUCACUUGCUGAUGAAAUUGCAUGGUUCAAAAAUCUUGUAUCACAACAAAAAUAUCCAGUUGUUUUUUGUCACAAUGAUAUGCAAGAAGGAAAUAUUCUUCUUCGUCAAAAUUCAACAAAACGUGAACUUGUUAUUAUUGAUUUUGAAUAUUGUUCAUAUAAUUAUCGUGGCUUUGAUCUUGCUAAUCAUUUUGUCGAGUGGCAGUACGAUUACACAGCCAAGGAUUAUCCAUUUUAUCAUGAGAGAAAUAAUGCUGGACCUACUGAUGAACAAAAGGUAUGUUACACUUUGGGGACUGGGUUGGGUAAAAAAAGAAAAGCAAAGUAAAAACGAAAAAAAAAAAACAAUUAUGACUAGGGUAAGAUCGAAAUUCAUUCAUUAUUUGUUCACAUAGAAAAAACUAUUCGAAAUUUAUUAUUACCUAUAUUUUUUUUUUAUUUUUUUUUCUGCUUAUAUUUCGUUUCCCCCUGAGUAUAUUAUUUCGAUUAAAUAUAUUUAAAAAAUAAAAUAAAAAAAUAUCAAUGUCGUACACAAUCGGUAACAUAAUUUGAUUGAGAAAAAUAUAAAAAUUUUUAAACAAUUAAUUUGUCUUGAUAUUAUCAAAUGUAAAUAUUAAAAUUUUUCAUAAUUUUGUGUACAUAAUGAUUAAGUAUUUUAUUUUUUAAACAUAUAAAAAAAAAAAAGCAAAGUUAGUUGAGGGAAAAGUAGCCAAACGUUGGCGUGCGUUGCUCGUGUAUGUGUUAGUUUCACAGGAUCACAAAACACUGAGAGAAGGCUGAAGGCCUGUCAACAUAUUGUGGAGAAGCCAAAGACUAAUGUGAUGAUGAAGUGUCAUCAUUUUGCUGGAAUGACUAACAGUGGGAAUCUACGCAAGAGUCAAAGUGAAAGAGCUCAAUUGAGACCAACUGACUGUCUGAGAGCCCAACCAACAUUGGGCAUAUUGGAUCGUCAAACAUCUCUAUAUCAACAACAAUAGAGUACCGUCAAUACGCACUCUAUUUCAAUUAUUCAAUAUAAAUUAUAUCCGUGAAUUUAUCAUUGAUAAACAUCCUAGUUUUCAAUAUUGGCAAUUUUUUCUACUUAAAAAUACGAGGCACUCUAUUAACAAGGCUCCGUUUUAUCAGAAGCUACUUGAAGACAAUGGGAAAAGAGGGAACACUUGAAGA
Molecule: unclassified non-coding RNA, 1837 nt
Filed under: Aphidius gifuensis
Lineage: Eukaryota; Metazoa; Arthropoda; Insecta; Hymenoptera; Braconidae
Description: choline/ethanolamine kinase, transcript variant X2
Source: RNAcentral